UACAGAGGGGGCAAGCGUUAUUCGGAAUUAUUGGGCGUAAAGGGCGCGUAGGCGGCUUGGCAAGUGGAAGGUGAAAUCCCUCGGCUUAACCGAGGAACUGCCUUCCAGACUGCUUUGCUUGAGGCCGGGAGAGGUGAGUGGAAUUCCCAGUGUAGCGGUGAAAUGCGUAGAUAUUGGGAGGAACACCAGUGGCGAAGGCGGCUCACUGGACCGGUUCUGACGCUGAGGCGCGAAAGCGUGGGGAGCAAACGGG
RNAcentral lists this ribosomal RNA (253 nucleotides) under uncultured bacterium. Its description in RNAcentral is "partial 16S ribosomal RNA". It matches the Rfam family "Bacterial small subunit ribosomal RNA", at positions 524 to 776 of the family's 1533-position model. The record is from RNAcentral.